Molecule: long non-coding RNA, 1370 nt
Filed under: Homo sapiens (human)
Lineage: Eukaryota; Metazoa; Chordata; Mammalia; Primates; Hominidae
Description: HSALNT0228262
Source: RNAcentral
AAGUAAAUCCAAUUUCUGUGAAAUCAGGAUACAAUAAUAGAACCUAGCAGCCUGCCGGACACUUGGAAGGUGCUCCAUGAAUGUCAGCCAUUUAUACGUAAGGUACAUCCAAGGUCUCAUCUUGUAUCUCUGAGAGGCCCAGAAAUCCUUUCUCAGGCCAUGCGUGCAACCUAUUUUGGGGUUCAGAAAAGAGAGUUGUCUUAUUUGUGGCUUUUUUGCUUUAGUGCCCCAGGUCACUCUGUGUCUCUUGGCCUUUCUCAUCAUCUUCCUCUACUUCACUGAUCUCAUUUCCAUGGUGCCUCCCACGAAUUCCUUUGCCCACUCUUCUUUGCCAGCCUCAUAGCCAGAGGCACUUUAUGCAUCAAGCACUGCUGGUUCCUCUUGCUGUUGUUUUCAUGAAGUUGCCCUACACAAAAACAUAUGAAUUUUGCAGAUGAAUGGUUUCAUCCUGGGCAAUGCUGAUAGGUUUUCAGUUUCCAUCUGCCGCCCCAUCUGUAGCUUCCAAAACCACUACUUCUCCCAUCCCAGAAAGAAUGAGCAAACUUAGGAGUCUUCUCAAAGGGGCGGUAGUGCCCAAGUCAGGCACUUCUAAGAGGCACUGAAAACUUGGGGGAUACUUAAGGGUCCAGCCAGCCCGACGUAGCCACUGUGAGCUGCUCUGUGAUUUGACGUCACCUCCCUGUGUCCCCUGCACAACCCUCACUGUGGGGGGUGGGGGGGUGUGGGCAGAUUCUUCCUCUCUUAGAUAUUAAAGAUGCACUGGUGUUUACUGGUCACUAGCCUUGUUUAGGCCCUGGACGCAGACAUCCUGGUUUCAGAUUCUGCCCCACCACCAACUGGGCAAGUUGCUUCAACUUUCUGCAUCUCAAAUUCUCUACCUUAAAAUAAACACAAUAUUAGUGCCUAUUUCGGAGGGUUCUUAGGAAGUUUCAAUGAAAUCUUGCAUGAUAAGGACCUACCACAGCGUCUAAUGACAGAAAGUGGUUGAUAAAUGCCCAAAUUACUCCAUGGCUAUAAGUAACUGUGGGACUUGAGUUACUUUCCCUUUUCUCUUUGAUAGAGUUAAAAGAGUAGCAAAGUAUUUCUUGAACUCACAUCUCUGUCAAAAGAGGGAAAAGUGGGCCAAGCACGGUGGCACACAACUGUAAUCCCAGGACUUUGGGAGGCCAAGGCAGGUGGAUCACUUGAGGUUAGGGGUUCGAGACCAGCCUGGCCAACAUGAUGAAACCCCGACUCAACUAAAAAUACAAAAAUUAGCCAGGCAUGGUUGUGCAUACCUGUAACCCCAGCUACUCAUGAGGCUGAGGCAUGAGACUCACUUGAACUCGGGAGGCAGAGGCUGCAAUGAGCCGAGAUCGUACCACCGCGCU